This 411-nucleotide ribosomal RNA is filed under the name uncultured beta proteobacterium. RNAcentral describes it as "bacterial SSU rRNA". It matches the Rfam family "Bacterial small subunit ribosomal RNA", at positions 9 to 423 of the family's 1533-position model. Lineage: Bacteria; Pseudomonadati; Pseudomonadota; Betaproteobacteria. The record is from RNAcentral.
GAGUUUGAUCCUGGCUCAGAUUGAACGCUGGCGGCAUGCCUUACACAUGCAAGUCGAACGCGAAAGCGGGGCAACCCGCAAGUAGAGUGGCGAACGGGUGAGUAAUACAUCGGAACAUAUCCAGUAGCGGGGGAUAACCUGUCGAAAGAUAGGCUAAUACCGCAUACGACCUACGGGUGAAAGCGGAGGACCGCAAGGCUUCGCACUAUUGGAGUGGCCGAUGUCGGAUUAGCUAGUUGGUGAGGUAAAAGCUCACCAAGGCGACGAUCCGUAGCUGGUCUGAGAGGACGACCAGCCACACUGGAACUGAGACACGGUCCAGACUCCUACGGGAGGCAGCAGUGGGGAAUUUUGGACAAUGGGCGCAAGCCUGAUCCAGCCAUGCCGCGUGAGUGAAGAAGGCCUUCGGUU